RNA transcript from Neofelis nebulosa (Clouded leopard), 3839 nucleotides. It is a transcript of the gene named methyltransferase 8, tRNA N3-cytidine, with no coding region annotated. NCBI's taxonomy places the organism in Eukaryota, Metazoa, Chordata, Mammalia, Carnivora, Felidae. The transcript is spliced from 12 exons. The record is from RefSeq and is a predicted model, not a curated record.
CCAAAGCAGUGUCCUGUGCUAAAGGGAAAAAUGGAAUGCUGGAGAGCUGGUGCCUCUCGUUGCCUCUUGCUUACACCGUUGCAGUACUGAUUAGGAUGAAUGUGAUUUGGAGAAAUUCUGUUUCCUGUCUAAGGAUAAGAAAGGUGCCACGUAGAUACCAAAGUGGUAAUCACCCAGCGGCCCCUCUGGGAUCAAGGAUUUUAACUGACCCAGCCAAAGUUUUUGAACACAACAUGUGGGAUCACAUGCAGUGGUCAAAAGAAGAAGAAGCAGCAGCCAGAAAAAGAGUAGAGGAAAACUCAGCUGUGCGAGUCCUUCUGGAAGAACAAGUUAAGUAUGAGAAUGAAGCUAGUCAAUAUUGGGAUACAUUUUAUAAGAUUCAUAAGAAUAAGUUUUUCAAGGAUCGUAAUUGGCUGUUGAGGGAAUUUCCUGAAAUUAUUCCAGUUGAUCAAAAAACUGAAGAGAAGACACAAGAAUCAUCAUGGGAUAAUGUGAAAACUGGUGCUGCAAAUUGUUUCUCAAGAAUGCACUGCCCUAUUAUGCCUGAGGAAAAAAAUCUUGGUAUGAAAAGGUGUGGUUCAUCAGAUGGUCCAAGCAGAGCAAGAUCUCAUUUUUCCAACCUAGACUCUGAAGAACACAGCGAAGGACCUCUGAAGACCGAAUUGUUUCCUGGUAGCAGUGCCACUUUCAGAAUCCUUGAGGUUGGCUGUGGUGCCGGAAAUAGUGUUUUUCCAAUUUUGAACACUUUACAGAAUGCUCCAGAGUCCUUUCUUUAUUGUUGUGAUUUUGCUUCCGGAGCUGUGGAACUAGUAAAGUUGCACUCAUCCUACAGAGCAGCUCAGUGUUGUGCCUUUGUUCAUGAUGUUUGUGAUGAAGAUUCACCGUACCCUUUUCCAGAUGGGAUCCUGGACGUCAUUCUCCUUGUCUUUGUGCUCUCUUCUAUUCAUCCUGACAGGAUGCAAGGUGUUAUAAACCGACUGUCCAAGUUACUGAAGCCUGGGGGAAUGCUGCUAUUUCGGGACUAUGGAAGAUAUGAUAAGACUCAGCUUCGUUUUAAAAGGGGUCAUUGCUUAUCUGAAAAUUUUUAUGUGCGAGGAGAUGGUACCAGAGCAUAUUUCUUUACGAAAGGGGAAGUCCACACUAUGUUCUGCAAGGCUGGGUUAGAUGAGAAGCAAAAUCUGGUUGAUCGUCGCUUACAAGUUAAUAGGAAAAAACAAGUGAAAAUGCACCGAGUGUGGGUUCAAGGCAAAUUCCAGAAACCAUUACACUUGACUCAAAAACCCUCCAAAUUGGUAUCACCACUCCUUUCUCAUGGCUGAGUUAUGUAUCAUGUUAAGGUACAAACCAGAGGAUUACACUAUUCAAAGACUUCUGUAAAUCUUUCAUUUUUGAAAGGGAAGACAAGAGAAUUUGUAUAUCCUGCUGUUUAUCAUGGGACCCUUAUGUUUUCCAUCAUGAUGUGUCACAAAGUAUGAAUUUAUUGAUCUUCAAAAACCUGGAAAGAUGGGACACAGCUUUAGGAGAAACACACCCAGAGAAGUGCAGGCAGAAGGGGACAUUGAGCCAGAAGAUUGCCCUCAUUCACCAGUAUGACAGAGGAAGGUACAGAUUACAUAUCAAUAUGAUGUAGUCACCAAGUAAUUCAUGAUCUUCUGACCCUCUGCGAGAAGACUAAUGGAAGGCACGUGAAGAAUGCAGGCCAGCAUAGCCUAUGAGACAAGGCCUCAAUGUAUAGUCACCACCAUUUAGUUAGGUUUGAGAGAAGCCCCCAAAAUAUCUCUGUGUUCCUGCCCAAACUUCAAACCAGCUGAGAGAAGCUGAUACUGGAGAAAAAUGGCCCAGGGUACAUGGGAAAAAUUGGCUUCCUACUAUUCAAUCCAGGAAUCAAGACCCACAGAUUGACUGUGCUCAUGGGGGUCUGCCCCUGUACAGCCUCUUACAGAGUAGCCAGUUUCCGAGAGAGAGAGAGGAGGAGGACUAGGUUAAGCAUGCCUAAUUCGUUUCCCAAAUUCACCUGUAUAAGGUACUCUACCUCUCUCAGGAAUGAAGAAAGCAGGAUUAAAGAAACCAGGUGGGUCCCUCCACAUGGCGAGAAACAACAGGAGUGGGCGUUACCUGAAAUGUUUAUAAGUGCCUAGUAAACUUAUGCCACAUCUACUGAGGCUAGAGCAAUGUGGAGUGGACUCUACUAUGCCCUUUGUGACUUGCUGAGUAGUAGGCUUAGAGAGCUACCCCUUCACUAGUUGUUCAGCAUUUACCUAUAAUCUUGCGGCAGUGGACGAGGUCUAUGAGCACCUGCCUUGGUGAUGGAUGGAAUCUUCAGGGUAUGCACUGACACAUGUAGACGGUUGGAAUGCUGGGAACUAAAAGUGAGUUUCCAAAGGUAUUACCAGUGAAUUAUUCUGGAAACCCUACUACACUUAAAUCUUUACUAGACUGCUAAAUAAAUGGUCAGGAGAUCUAACAACUCUGCCAAGCCCCGCUUCUAUAUUGACUUGCAAAACAAAUAAAUGGCUCUAGCCCAGCACUUCUCAAACUAUCUGAGGUAAAGGAUGAGUUGUUGCCUUUUGUUUUGUUUUGCCUAUUUGCAACCUGUCAUAGACCAAUACUUUUCAAAGAUAAAUUACUAGGAAAAAAAAAAAAAAAGACGUCCUCCAGUUCCUGGCAUUGUGUUUCCUAGUCUCUGCCCUCUCCCCAGCAAUCUCUCCUUAUUAUCUCCCAGACAGCCAGUGUAUACCAGCUACAUGUCAAGCGCUGCUCUGGUGUUUGGAAAUAAAGGGAUGAACAGGAGAAAAUAAAGAUGGGUAAUAUACAAGCCCAAGAUUUUUAUUAGAUUCAACAGACGUAAAUUUAUUCAGUUUCUCUACUUACCUUGACACAGGCUGGCAAUAAAACAGACUAGCAUCUGCCCACAGCCCACACCUUGAGCUGCCCUACUCUAGACCACGGGAGACGACUAAACCCACAUCACGUUAUUUGUUCUGCUUCACCUCCUGAACCCUGUGUCCCUUCACCUUUGGGUGUACAGCACCAGGACCCGGCUUGUGCACCUAGAAAAUGUGUAGUUCAGGUGCUCAGUGCUGUUGCCUGGUAUCCUUUUUACACACUUGGUUGUAUUAAGCACCCAAAACCACACCACACCACCCAGCUCUCACCAGGAUUUCUGGUGAUUAUUGUUCCUUUUACUUGUUCCUUUUUUAAAAAAUAGCUUUUUGUGAAUAUGUGAACAGGUGCUUAAUAGUUUCUAUCCCGAUUUAAAAGGGAAGGGAGAUGAUUCUAUUAUUCUUGUGUUGAAGUCAAAACUUGCGAUUUUUUUCCCCCCACUGAAUGGUGUUUUAAAGACAGAGUUGAUGCCAAACUCAAAGAACGUGGGGAACUUGGGGAAGGCCGGAGAUAGAUAAGAUUAUUAAUAGUUUAUUUAUAAGGCUGUGUUUAGAAGCUAAAGAAAAUGUUGAUUUGUCCUAGAAGAGCACACUAGAAGAUGAGAAUGAUAGUUCCCAGGGAGGAACAGGCAAAAAGGGUUCUCAGAGAAGAAACACGGGACCCAUCUGGGUAUCUGAGCCUCAGUGUCCUAAACUAUAAAUUGGAGACAAUAUUGCUGACCUGAAGAUUGUUGCAAAUACAAAAUACAAAGCACAUCAAAUGUAAGGCAUGGUGCCUGGAGAUGAUUGGUGCUUAAUAAGUGAUCAUUAUUAAUCUAUCACUAAUAGUUGUGUGUUUUUUUUUUUUUUAACAAAGGAUGGUGAUCAAGUCUUUGUCUCUUUUGGGGAGAGGAGGAGAAAUGGACUCUUUCUGCAAUAUAAAUAAAUUAGCCAUAAGAAACUGUUCCUAACUAUGAA